UACGUAGGCAGCAAGCGUUGUUCGGAGUUACUGGGCGUAAAGGGUGUGUAGGCGGUUCUUUAAGUUUGCUGUGAAAUCUCCCGGCUUAACCGGGAGGGUGCGGUGAAUACUGAGGGACUAGAGUACGGGAGAGGAAAGUGGAAUUCCUGGUGUAGCGGUGAAAUGCGUAGAUAUCAGGAGGAACACCGGUGGUGUAGACGGCUCUCUGGACCGUAACUGACGCUGAGACACGAAAGCGUGGGUAGCAAACAGG
This 253-nucleotide ribosomal RNA is filed under the name uncultured bacterium. RNAcentral describes it as "partial 16S ribosomal RNA". It matches the Rfam family "Bacterial small subunit ribosomal RNA", at positions 524 to 776 of the family's 1533-position model. The record is from RNAcentral.